ACAUUGCAAUGUCCAUCCAUUGCUAAUGGGUGGUGUCUAUUUCGUUUCCUAACCGUGACAAGUUUCUCUUCUUGUUUCAAGAAGAGUUUCAAGAAGAGCUCCUGAUCCAUCAGGGCAUCACAAUCACAUAUUAUCCUCAAUCACUAUUUCUCUCCAUUCCUCGUGAAAUAGAGGAAGAGCUGGAAUCUGAUAGGGUUGAUACAUUGUUUAUGGAAUUAUGAUGUUAAUAGGGUCGAUUCUGAGUUUGAAGUUUUGCUGAAUAAUCAAAAUCGCCGCUUUCUGCCUCUUCUUGCUGUGGUGGUAAUUGAGAGCCUAACACAAGUUUGUCACCAGGAGGAUCACUUGCUUCCUUAGUUCCAUUUGAUGAUUCAACAUUUCUUGAUAACUCAACUGCUGGUCCAAUAUGAGUAUUUUGUGGUUCCUCAUUCUUUGGAUAAUUCAAAUUUUCCAUCCUGAAGUCCAUUGAAGUAGUCCUAAUAGACUCUUCAGGCACAACUUGGUGUUUCACCCGUACCCCAGUACUUGGAUGAUCUUGGGAUUCGAGUUCUCAUUAGCUCCACCCUCCAGAGCUUGCUUGGCUGAACUUGAGUUCUGCAUUAGGGGAAAUAGAGUUAUCAGAUCAUAAGCCUCACGACUCACCAAAUUCUAAUGCACCCUUAACUGGUGUUGCUUAUAAUGUUUUGUUGUUCUGUUUUUUUUUUGUGCAGCCAAAAUGCGGCUAGUGAACCAUUUCCCUCCAUGGACGCAAGAUCAUCCGGUGGUAAUUGUUGUAGUGGCAACCGUUAAAGUGUCUUGUAAUCAUAUUAGGUAGUUUCGAUAGUGUAAUUGCAUGAUUGGACCGGAUGUCAUAAUGAUUUGAGUGAA
Long non-coding RNA from Solanum tuberosum (potato), 864 nucleotides. RefSeq lists it as uncharacterized. The record is from RefSeq and is a predicted model, not a curated record. NCBI's taxonomy places the organism in Eukaryota, Viridiplantae, Streptophyta, Magnoliopsida, Solanales, Solanaceae. The transcript has 2 exons.